Molecule: ribosomal RNA, 349 nt
Filed under: Paenarthrobacter sp.
Lineage: Bacteria; Bacillati; Actinomycetota; Actinomycetes; Micrococcales; Micrococcaceae
Description: bacterial SSU rRNA
Rfam family: Bacterial small subunit ribosomal RNA
Source: RNAcentral
GUGUGGGGGGACAUUCCACGUUUUCCGCGCCGUAGCUAACGCAUUAAGUGCCCCGCCUGGGGAGUACGGCCGCAAGGCUAAAACUCAAAGGAAUUGACGGGGGCCCGCACAAGCGGCGGAGCAUGCGGAUUAAUUCGAUGCAACGCGAAGAACCUUACCAAGGCUUGACAUGAACCGGAAAGACCUGGAAACAGGUGCCCCGCUUGCGGUCGGUUUACAGGUGGUGCAUGGUUGUCGUCAGCUCGUGUCGUGAGAUGUUGGGUUAAGUCCCGCAACGAGCGCAACCCUCGUUCUAUGUUGCCAGCGGUUCGGCCGGGGACUCAUAGGAGACUGCCGGGGUCAACUCGGA